GGGCGAAAGCCUGAUGCAGCGACGCCGCGUGAGGGAUGACGGCCUUCGGGUUGUAAACCUCUUUCAGCAGGGAAGAAGCGAGAGUGACGGUACCUGCAGAAGAAGCGCCGGCUAACUACGUGCCAGCAGCCGCGGUAAUACGUAGGGCGCGAGCGUUGUCCGGAAUUAUUGGGCGUAAAGAGCUCGUAGGCGGUCUGUCGCGUCGGAUGUGAAAGCCCGGGGCUUAACCCCGGGUCUGCAUUCGAUACGGGCAGACUAGAGUGUGGUAGGGGAGAUCGGAAAUCCUGGUGUAGCGGUGAAAUGCGCAGAUAUCAGGAGGAACACCGGUGGCGAAGGCCGAUCUCUGGGCCAUUACUGACGCUGAGGAGCGAAAGCGUGGGGAGCGAACAGGAUUAGAUACCCUGGUAGUCCACGCCGUAAACGGUGGGAACUAGGUGUUGGCGACAUUCCACGUCGUCGGUGCCGCAGCUAACGCAUUAAGUUCCCCGCCUGGGGAGUACGGCCGCAAGGCUAAAACUCAAAGGAAUUGACGGGG
This 535-nucleotide ribosomal RNA is filed under the name Streptomyces polymachus. Its description in RNAcentral is "bacterial SSU rRNA". It matches the Rfam family "Bacterial small subunit ribosomal RNA", at positions 373 to 918 of the family's 1533-position model. The record is from RNAcentral. Lineage: Bacteria; Bacillati; Actinomycetota; Actinomycetes; Kitasatosporales; Streptomycetaceae.